RNAcentral lists this ribosomal RNA (1369 nucleotides) under uncultured bacterium. RNAcentral's name for it is "bacterial SSU rRNA". It matches the Rfam family "Bacterial small subunit ribosomal RNA", at positions 28 to 1381 of the family's 1533-position model. The record is from RNAcentral.
GACGAACGCUGGCGGCGUGCCUAAUACAUGCAAGUAGAACGCUGAAGAGAGGAGCUUGCUCUUCUUGGAUGAGUUGCGAACGGGUGAGUAACGCGUAGGUAACCUGCCUGGUAGCGGGGGAUAACUAUUGGAAACGAUAGCUAAUACCGCAUAAAAUUGAUUAUUGCAUGAUAAUUAAUUGAAAGAUGCAACUGCAUCACUACCAGAUGGACCUGCGUUGUAUUAGCUAGUUGGUGAGGUAACGGCUCACCAAGGCGACGAUACAUAGCCGACCUGAGAGGGUGAUCGGCCACACUGGGACUGAGACACGGCCCAGACUCCUACGGGAGGCAGCAGUAGGGAAUCUUCGGCAAUGGGGGGAACCCUGACCGAGCAACGCCGCGUGAGUGAAGAAGGUUUUCGGAUCGUAAAGCUCUGUUGUAAGAGAAGAACGGGUGUGAGAGUGGAAAGUUCACACUGUGACGGUAUCUUACCAGAAAGGGACGGCUAACUACGUGCCAGCAGCCGCGGUAAUACGUAGGUCCCGAGCGUUGUCCGGAUUUAUUGGGCGUAAAGCGAGCGCAGGCGGUUAGAUAAGUCUGAAGUUAAAGGCUGUGGCUUAACCAUAGUAUGCUUUGGAAACUGUUUAACUUGAGUGCAGAAGGGGAGAGUGGAAUUCCAUGUGUAGCGGUGAAAUGCGUAGAUAUAUGGAGGAACACCGGUGGCGAAAGCGGCUCUCUGGUCUGUAACUGACGCUGAGGCUCGAAAGCGUGGGGAGCAAACAGGAUUAGAUACCCUGGUAGUCCACGCCGUAAACGAUGAGUGCUAGGUGUUAGGCCCUUUCCGGGGCUUAGUGCCGCAGCUAACGCAUUAAGCACUCCGCCUGGGGAGUACGACCGCAAGGUUGAAACUCAAAGGAAUUGACGGGGGCCCGCACAAGCGGUGGAGCAUGCGGUUUAAUUCGAAGCAACGCGAAGAACCUUACCAGGUCUUGACAUCCCUCUGACCGCUCUAGAGAUAGAGUUUUCCUUCGGGACAGAGGUGACAGGUGGUGCAUGGUUGUCGUCAGCUCGUGUCGUGAGAUGUUGGGUUAAGUCCCGCAACGAGCGCAACCCCUAUUGUUAGUUGCCAUCAUUCAGUUGGGCACUCUAGCGAGACUGCCGGUAAUAAACCGGAGGAAGGUGGGGAUGACGUCAAAUCAUCAUGCCCCUUAUGACCUGGGCUACACACGUGCUACAAUGGCUGGUACAACGAGUCGCAAGCCGGUGACGGCAAGCUAAUCUCUGAAAGCCAGUCUCAGUUCGGAUUGUAGGCUGCAACUCGCCUACAUGAAGUCGGAAUCGCUAGUAAUCGCGGAUCAGCACGCCGCGGUGAAUACGUUCCCGGGCCU